This 1223-nucleotide ribosomal RNA is filed under the name uncultured bacterium. RNAcentral describes it as "bacterial SSU rRNA". It matches the Rfam family "Bacterial small subunit ribosomal RNA", at positions 200 to 1440 of the family's 1533-position model. The record is from RNAcentral.
GGGAAAAAAUUUUGAUGAAAGAUGGUCUCGCGGCCUAUCAGCUAGUUGGUGAGGUAAUGGCUCACCAAGGCGACGACGGGUAGCCGGCCUGAGAGGGCGACCGGCCACACUGGGACUGAGACACGGCCCAGACUCCUACGGGAGGCAGCAGUGGGGAAUAUUGGGCAAUGGGCGCAAGCCUGACCCAGCGACGCCGCGUGAGGGAUGAAGGCCUUCGGGUUUGUAAACCUCUUUCAGUAGGGAAGAAGCGAAAGUGACGGUACCUAAAGAAGAGAGCACCGGCUAACUAUGUGCCAGCAGCCGCGGUAAUACAUAGGGUGCAAGCGUUGUCCGGAAUUAUUGGGCGUAAAGAGCUCGUAGGUCGUUUGCCACGUCGAUUGUGAAAAUCUGAGGCUCAACCUCAGACCUGCAGUCGAUACGGGCAAACUAGAGUGUGGUAGGGGAGACUGGAAUUCCUGGUGUAGCGGUGGAAUGCGCAGAUAUCAGGAGGAACACCAAUGGCGAAGGCAGGUCUCUGGGCCAUAACUGACACUGAGGAGCGAAAGUGCGGGGAGCGAACAGGAUUAGAUACCCUGGUAGUCCGCACCGUAAACGGUGGGCACUAGUUGUGGGAACCUUCCACGGUUUCCGCGACGCAGCAAACGCAUUAAGUGCCCCGCCUGGGGAGUACGAUCGCAAGAUUAAAACUCAAAGGAAUUGACGGGGCCCCGCACAAGCAGCGGAGCAUGCGGCUUAAUUCGACGCAACGCGAAGAACCUUACCAAGGCUUGACAUAUAGCGAAAAGUGGCAGAGAUGUCAUGUCCGCAAGGGCGCUAUACAGGUGGUGCAUGGUUGUCGUCAGCUCGUGUCGUGAGAUGUUGGGUUAAGUCCCGCAACGAGCGCAACCCUCGUUCUGUGUUACCAGCAUUUAGUUGGGGACUCACAGGAGACUGCCGGGGUCAACUCGGAGGAAGGUGGGGAUGACGUCAAAUCAUCAUGCCCCUUAUGUCUUGGGCUGCACGCAUGCUACAAUGGCCGGUACAAAGUGCUGCGAGAUCGUAAGAUUGAGCGAAUCACAUAAAGCCGGUCUCAGUUCGGAUUGAGGUCUGCAACUCGACCUCAUGAAGUCGGAGUUGCUAGUAAUCGUAGAUCAGCAACGCUACGGUGAAUACGUUCCCGGGGCUUGUACACACCGCCCGUCACGUCACGAAAGUCGGUAACACCCAAAGUCAGUGGCCCAACC